AUAAACGAGCGAAAGUCUUAACCGACCUAGCUUUAUAAAUAAAUCCAUCUUAUACACCUGUGAACUAUUUGCCCUCCGGGGUAUACCAACCAAACGUUUAAACUGUAAUGAAUGUAAACCUACUAUAAUGUAAACAAUA
This 139-nucleotide unclassified non-coding RNA is filed under the name uncultured fungus. Its description in RNAcentral is "sequence contains ITS1". The record is from RNAcentral. Lineage: Eukaryota; Fungi.